UCAAACGCGGUUUUUGGCCUUUCCAUAUUUUUCAA
Molecule: small RNA, 35 nt
Filed under: Corethron hystrix
Lineage: Eukaryota; Bacillariophyta; Corethrophyceae; Corethrales; Corethraceae
Description: partial Mitochondrion-encoded tmRNA
Source: RNAcentral